Molecule: ribosomal RNA, 319 nt
Filed under: uncultured Prevotella sp.
Lineage: Bacteria; Pseudomonadati; Bacteroidota; Bacteroidia; Bacteroidales; Prevotellaceae
Description: partial 16S ribosomal RNA
Source: RNAcentral
GGAGUUUGGUCCGUGUCUCAGUACCAAUGUGGGGGACCUUCCUCUCAGAACCCCUACUGAUCGUCGGCUAGGUGGGCCGUUGCCCCGCCUACAACCUAAUCAGACGCAUCCCCAUCCCUCAGCGAUGAAUCUUUGCUCCUUCUUAGAUGCCCGCAAAGGAGAACAUAGGGCAUUAAUCCGACUUUCGCCGGGCUGUUCCCUACUGGGGGAAGGUUGGAUACGCGUUACUCACCCGUGCGCCGGUCGCCAUCAAAGUCAGCAAGCUGACUUCAUGCUGCCCCUCGACUUGCAUGUGUUAAGCCUGUAGCUAGCGUUCAUC